GUGGUGUGUGUGAAUGUGUGUGUGUCAAUGUGUGUAUGUGUGAAUGUGUGUGUGUGGUGUGUGUGAAUGUGUGUGUGUGAAUGUGUGUAUGUGUGAAUGUGUGUGUGUGUGCGCGCGCGCACAUGUGUGUGUGUGAAUGUGUGUGUGUAUGUGUGUGUGUGAAUGUGAAUGUGUGUGUAUGCUUAGCAAUCCACAUGGCUGUCAUUUUUCUGCUUAGAGACAGGACUUAAUUUUAUUUCUUUUGUCUCAGGAUUGCCUGGUACCAAAGGUGAUAAGGGAGACAUUGGUGUUGGCAUUGCAGGAGAAAAUGGUCUCCCUGGCCCUCCAGGUCCUCAAGGGCCUCCAGGUUAUGGCAAGAUGGGUGCAACCGGGCCAAUGGGCCAGCAAGGCAUUCCUGGGAUCCCUGGCCCCCCGGGGCCCAUGGGCCAGCCAGGGAAGGCAGGCCACUGCAACCCCUCAGACUGUUUUGGGGCCAUGCCAAUGGAGCAGCAGUACCCGCCCAUAAAAAGCAUGAAGGGGCCUUUUGGUUGAAGCUCCUGCUCGCACUGAGAGGAAGGACUCUACUAGGAAUAAAUGGCCAAAGCUUACAGGACUCUGACAGGUUGUGAAUGUUUGUACUAUUCUUGUGUUUGUUGUUUUGUUGUUGUUGCUGUUAAUAUUUUUUUUAACAAUAAAGAAAGAAAACUAUCUGUAACCCCACUUCCAUGGGGUUCCCCUGGUGCUGCA
RNAcentral lists this long non-coding RNA (726 nucleotides) under Rattus norvegicus (Norway rat). Its description in RNAcentral is "long non-coding RNA NONRATT022671". The record is from RNAcentral. Lineage: Eukaryota; Metazoa; Chordata; Mammalia; Rodentia; Muridae.